UACAGAGGGUGCGAGCGUUGUCCGGAAUCACUGGGCGUAAAGGGCGCGUAGGUGGCGCGACAAGUCAGUGGUGAAAGUUCGACGCUCAACGUCGAAUCGGCCACUGAUACUGUUGGGCUUGAGCACUGUAGAGGCUAAUGGAAUUCCGGGUGUAGCGGUGGAAUGCGUAGAGAUCAGGAAGAACACCAGUGGCGAAGGCGACUCGCUGGACCAGCAUUGACACUCAAGCACGAAAGCGUGGGGAGCAAACAGG
RNAcentral lists this ribosomal RNA (253 nucleotides) under uncultured bacterium. Its description in RNAcentral is "partial 16S ribosomal RNA". It matches the Rfam family "Bacterial small subunit ribosomal RNA", at positions 524 to 776 of the family's 1533-position model. The record is from RNAcentral.